Molecule: long non-coding RNA, 363 nt
Filed under: Oreochromis niloticus (Nile tilapia)
Lineage: Eukaryota; Metazoa; Chordata; Actinopteri; Cichliformes; Cichlidae
Description: lncRNA (ENSONIG00000028238.1)
Source: RNAcentral
GGAAAAGAAAUUAAGCAAACUCUUCUCAUUUGGAGCUGCAUAUAAUAGCAGAAAGAUCAUGAUCUCAUAACUGUUACUUGGAUGUCUUGAUAACAUUAUUUUGUUCUCUUAAUCCCAAUUUAGUCCCAUUUGUCUCGUAAAUUAAACUGAAAUCUCAUUCUCAAGGAACUUUUAGAGUUAGUGAAACUGUACUAUUUUGCAACUGAAUGCAUUCAUGCAUAUUUAUAACGUACUGGAAUUUGCUCUUUCUUUGCAGAAAGUGGUGGCUCUGACGCCAAAAGUGCGGCCAGCGAGGGAUGUUGGCCAAGAGUGCUCCUGUCCUCCAGAUUAGAAAUGUCCAUCCAAUCCAAGACUGGAUUCGCC